This 71-nucleotide transfer RNA is filed under the name Mesocricetus auratus (golden hamster). It matches the Rfam family "tRNA". Rfam says of the family: Transfer RNA (tRNA) molecules are approximately 80 nucleotides in length. Their secondary structure includes four short double-helical elements and three loops (D, anti-codon, and T loops). Lineage: Eukaryota; Metazoa; Chordata; Mammalia; Rodentia; Cricetidae. The record is from Rfam by way of RNAcentral.
AGGGAUGUAGCUCAGUUGGUAGAGUGCUUGCUUAGUAAGCAUGAAGUCCUGGGUUUGAUUCCACAACACUA